CGCCUGCGCGCUGCGGCCGCUCGGUGCCGGCCCCGCUGGCGCCGCCCGCAGCUCCCGCGGCUCCUCUGCCUAUUUUAGUCACAGUCGCGGCUCCGUGCCCGCCGUGGGACCGCCAGCGGUGACGAGCGGCAGCCCUGGGCUGUGGCCGUCCUGUCCGGGCGGCCGGGAAAGUUUUCCGCGGGGCAGGAGUCUCCAAGAUGAAUACCACAGCAAUGAGCCCACUCACUGUUACUCCACUAGGUUUUGUUCCAGACUUAAAAAAUUCCACCCUUGAUCCUUUCAAUGAGACUGCAUGUGAAAACUGGAAAGAGAUUCAUCAUCUUGUUUUCCACGUGGCAAACAUUUGCUUUGCAGUUGGGCUGGUCAUUCCAACCUCUUUGAACCUUCAUAUGAUUCUCCUGCGAGGCCUGCUCACCAUAGGAUGUGCAUUAUUCAUCAUUUGGGCUACACUCUAUCGUUGUGCCUUGGACAUAAUGAUCUGGAAUUCUGUGUUUUUGGUUGUCAACCUUUUGCAUUUCAUAUACCUUGUGUAUAAAAGGAGGCCGAUCAAGAUAGAGAAGGAACUUAGCAGCCUCUACAAGAGAAUGUUUGAACCUCUCCAUGUGCCUCCAGAGCUCUUCCAAAGACUAACUGGACAAUUCUGCAACAUUCAGACUUUGAAGACAGGUCAAGCCUAUGCAGCAGAAGAUAAAACAUCAGUUGAUGAUAGGCUAAGCAUCCUGCUGAAGGGGAAAAUGAAGGUGUCUUAUCGAGGGCAUUUUCUGCAUAAUAUUUACCCCUGUGCCUUUAUAGAUUCUCCUGAAUUUCGAUCAACGCAGAUGAACCGGGGUGAGAAAUUCCAGGUUACCAUUAUUGCAGAUGAUAACUGCAAGUUCCUGUGCUGGUCCAGGGAACGACUGACUUUCUUUCUGGAGUCUGAGCCAUUUCUUUAUGAGAUCUUUAAGUACCUUAUUGGCAAAGAUAUUACAAAUAAACUUUAUUCAUUGAAUGACCCAACCUUAAAUGACAAGGCUUCAAAGAAGAUUGACCGGCAGCCCAGCCUCUGCUCUCAGCUCUCGGUGAUGCAGAUGAGGAACAGCAUGGCCAGCACCAGUGACAGCGAGGACGGCCUGCAGAUGUUCCUUCGUGGGACUUCCUCUGCAUCCUCUCUUCUGACAGGUCCAGCAGAGCGCCUUCCCUAGAUGACUCAUCCAUCAUGAAGGAAUUGCCUGCUACCUUCAGGGAUCUCCUGGACUGCCUGCUCCCACCCUGAUACCAGGGUGGUUAAAACUCCCCAGGAGCACCAAGGCCUGUGAUCCAGUUGUUGAAAGAAGGCUUCCUUCUCCUUGCUCUUCUUGAUCAGGCAGCCUGUAGAGAUUCCUGCUGAGAAGUCUCCUGUGCUGGUCUGUUCUCUGAUCUUUGCCUUUAAACCCUCGAGUGGCUUUUCACCUGUUCCACACACAGCAAAGUUCCAUUAAUUGAAGCCACUCCUUUGCAUAGAGAGCCUUUGGGUGAACUUGCACACUCAGAAAUUGUAAAACUGUGUUUGUGUGAUUAAAGUGUCUCUUUCAGGCUUAACAGCAAAACUCUUACACCAGUAUUUCAGCUUUGGGAGAAAGCACUUGAAAUGCAUGGCAAGUUGAGCUGUAAUUGUAUAAAUCUCCAAGAUGCACUUGUGCUUAGCACAUACUUGAUAAAUACACUUUUCUCUGUUGUACUUUUCCUUGCUUUGUGUACCUUUUUUUGGUAUACAGGGUGUGCUUUACCCAAGAGAAGGGGUUUAUGUGUCUUUUAUGUUCAGAAAUUCCUCAGCCCAGCUGAGGCAGCAGCUUCCCAAGUCCAAUGCUCUCCCUUACUUUUGGGGAGGCAGAGGGAUUGCCCCUACAGCAGUGCAACACACACCUUGGGAAGCAUUGUUAUUUAUUUCUUCUUUGUAUUUUGAUUGUGAAAUUUCUGACUUCUGUAAAAGGUUUGUUCAUCUCCUUGAACUGUAAUGCUUCAAUCUCUGUUUUUGCCAAGAUAGCUUGUUAGUUAUUCCUGGGUGCUGUCAUUGCCAAUGAUGGGGUUGGUGCCAAGGUGAGCUCUGCUUAAAGAUUUGUAUUCAGUGUGGAUUGUGGCCAGGUAUGCCCUUUUUUCAGAUCACAGGGAAAACUGAAAAAAAUAUCUGCCAUUUGCCUUGUCAUUGGUAUGUUUUCAAAAAUCUUCUGCUAGGUGCUCUCAGUGCAACAGCUGGGGUAUUUUUUUUCGUCUGUUUUUUUAAGAUUUACUGUAAGGUACAUGCUGAGGCUUCCAGUUCCAGUGCUGUUCCCUGGAUCCUCCUUCUACAGGCAUACAUUUGUUCAUUUAGAACAAACACAAUCUAAAAUCCUCAAAAGAUUUUGUGAGAAACAUAUGGAAAUGUCAAUAUUUUUUUUAUUUUUAUAAAAUUAGAAUAAAAAAUGAAUGAAGGGAACUUACCUGUACAGGAACUCUGUAGGAAUACUGUUUUGUCAUUGCUAGGUGAUUGUUGUGUGGACAAAGCCUCCCACUACAAAUAUAACUUUGACUUCUAUAAUCCAAAAAAGUUUUCUUCUCCCAAUUUCCACAUUCUUGAACAAAUGAGCAUUUAUAUUUUUGUAUAAUCCCAUCUUUUAAAAUUAUGCAUUUAUCAGUGUUAUAAAUUAUAAGCUUUGACUCAUAUUCUCAAGAAAUUAAUAUUAAUCCUAUUUCAAAGUGUUUAGUAAUAAAAGGGUUAAAAUUACUAAUUAGUAGGUCCCAAGCUACAAUUACUAACAAAAGUAUGUUUUUCAUUUAAUUAAUUAAGAAACCCAACUAACUGUUUGCUUUUAUAUUAAGGAAAUAACCAACAAGAGUUCUAUAAUGCUUACGGAGUGAGUCGUUUGCAGCAUGAUGUUUUCUGUUGAUAACAUCACAUUAACUCAGCAGGCAUCCUCAAAAAGGCCCAGGCCGCACAUCUCCCUACCUGAGAACUUCAGCAAAGAUGAAGCCCAUCGAGGAGAGUGUUGAAGAUGAUGUCUUUGAAGCACCAGCUGCUGAUAAGCUCGAGCUCCAGCGGCUGCCUUAGACAGUUGUGUCCUCAGGUGGAUCAGAGCUUGCACAGAGCUCCAGUGCAACAGGAGGGAGCUGAAUUUGGGAGGAAUCUGAAGCUAAGCCCACCUCUCCAUGUUUGAAUUUACUGCAGCAUAUGCCAAUGGUUUCUAGAUGGAAAUGUCAUGUUUUAUUUUACUUCUAAAUAAAAUAAAUGAAAACUUG
Molecule: RNA transcript, 3231 nt
Organism: Zonotrichia leucophrys gambelii
Lineage: Eukaryota; Metazoa; Chordata; Aves; Passeriformes; Passerellidae
Gene: POPDC1
Gene name: blood vessel epicardial substance
Exons: 9
Source: RefSeq, a predicted model, not a curated record